RNAcentral lists this ribosomal RNA (253 nucleotides) under uncultured bacterium. Its description in RNAcentral is "partial 16S ribosomal RNA". It matches the Rfam family "Bacterial small subunit ribosomal RNA", at positions 524 to 776 of the family's 1533-position model. The record is from RNAcentral.
UACGUAGGGGGCAAGCGUUGUCCGGAAUCAUUGGGCGUAAAGCGCGUGUAGGCGGCCAGGUAAGUCCGUUCUGAAAGCCCGGGGCUCAACCCCGGGAGGCGGAUGGAUACUGCUUGGCUCGAGCCCGGAAGAGGCGAGUGGAAUUCCCGGUGUAGCGGUGAAAUGCGCAGAUAUCGGGAGGAACACCAAUGGCGAAGGCAGCUCGCUGGGACGGUACUGACGCUGAGGAGCGAAAGCGUGGGGAGCGAACAGG